CGCGCGAGCCUGACGGAGCAUACCGCGUGAGGGAAGAAGGCUUUUGGGUUGUAAACCUCUUUUCUCAGGGAAGAACAAUUGACGGUACCUGGGGAAAUCGCCUCCGCUUACUCCCGGGCCGCCGCCGGGGUUAUUCGGAGGAAGGCAGCGUUUUUCGGUAUUUUUGGGCAUUAAGCCUUCCGCGGGGGCUUUUCUAGUCUGCUGUUAAACGACUGGGCUUAACCUCCAGAAAGGCGGGGAAAUUUGACAACUUAAAGGGCGUAGGGGUAAAAGGAAUUCCCGGGGUUACGGGAAAAUGCCUUAAAAACGGGAAAAACCUCCGGGGCGAAAGCCCUCUUCUGGGCCGCAACUGACCCUUAGGGAACAAAGCUUGGGGAACCAAUGGGAUUAAAUUCCCCCAUUCCCCUACCCCUAAAACGAGGAAUCUAGGGUUGGGUUUGUAUCACCCGAGCCGGGCCUUACUAACCCCUUUAGUUUCCCCGCUGGGGAAUUCCCCACGCAAGUGUGAAAUUCAAGGAAUUGGACGG
This 527-nucleotide ribosomal RNA is filed under the name uncultured bacterium. Its description in RNAcentral is "bacterial SSU rRNA". It matches the Rfam family "Bacterial small subunit ribosomal RNA", at positions 374 to 916 of the family's 1533-position model. The record is from RNAcentral.